UGAGGAAUAUUGGUCAAUGGGCGAGAGCCUGAACCAGCCAAGUAGCGUGCAGGAUGACGGCCCUAUGGGUUGUAAACUGCUUUUAUGUGGGGAUAAAGUGCGUGACGUGUCAUGCAUUGCAGGUACCACAUGAAUAAGGACCGGCUAAUUCCGUGCCAGCAGCCGCGGUAAUACGGAAGGUCCGGGCGUUAUCCGGAUUUAUUGGGUUUAAAGGGAGCGUAGGCUGUCUAUUAAGCGUGUUGUGAAAUUUACCGGCUCAACCGGUGGCUUGCAGCGCGAACUGGUCGACUUGAGUAUGCAGGAAGUAGGCGGAAUUCAUGGUGUAGCGGUGAAAUGCGUAGAUAUCAUGACGAACUCCGAUUGCGCAGGCAGCUUACUGUAGCAUAACUGACGCUGAUGCUCGAAAGUGCGGGUAUCAAACAGG
RNAcentral lists this ribosomal RNA (424 nucleotides) under Fusobacteriota bacterium. RNAcentral describes it as "Fusobacteria bacterium partial 16S ribosomal RNA". It matches the Rfam family "Bacterial small subunit ribosomal RNA", at positions 355 to 776 of the family's 1533-position model. The record is from RNAcentral. Lineage: Bacteria; Fusobacteriati; Fusobacteriota.